GCAAGUCGAACGAGAACGCACCUUUGGGUGUUAUUAGAGUGGCAAACGGGUGAGUAACACGUGGGAACGUACCUUUCAGUCUGGAAUAGCCCUGGGAAACUGGGAUUAAUGCCGGAUAUUCUCUACGGAGGAAAGAUUUAUCGCUGAAAGAUCGGCCCGCGUUAGAUUAGCUAGUUGGUAAGGUAAUGGCUUACCAAGGCUACGAUCUAUAGCUGGUCUGAGAGGAUGAUC
RNAcentral lists this ribosomal RNA (231 nucleotides) under uncultured bacterium. RNAcentral's name for it is "partial 16S ribosomal RNA". It matches the Rfam family "Bacterial small subunit ribosomal RNA", at positions 57 to 305 of the family's 1533-position model. The record is from RNAcentral.